GGAUGCGAUCAUACCAGCACUAAAGCAUCGGAUCCCAUCAGAACUCCAAAGUUAAGCGUGCUUGGGCGAGAGUAGUACUAGGAUGGGUGACCUCCUGGGAAGUCCUUGUGUUGCAUUCC
This 119-nucleotide ribosomal RNA is filed under the name Aegilops tauschii subsp. strangulata. The record is from RNAcentral. Lineage: Eukaryota; Viridiplantae; Streptophyta; Magnoliopsida; Poales; Poaceae.